Pan troglodytes (chimpanzee) is the source of this 239-nucleotide long non-coding RNA. RefSeq lists it as uncharacterized. The transcript is spliced from 3 exons. Lineage: Eukaryota; Metazoa; Chordata; Mammalia; Primates; Hominidae. The record is from RefSeq and is a predicted model, not a curated record.
GCGGCAGGGGCGGCCGGCCAGGCCCCGCUGGGCGCAGGCCUAUGGAGGGCGGAACCCUGGAGCCCCCAGGGGAGGGCACGGCGCAGGGGAUAUGUGGAUGCAUACAGCCAGACCCACCGGCAAACAGCCUCAAGCCUGGAGCACAGAAAUGCCCAGGCAGAUGGCCCUGUGCAGGGCUGAGCUGGAAGAGGUGACCAGGGCCUCCUCGCACCUUGCCCACCAGAGUGAGCCUGGCCUGC